CCGCAUGAAUGUCUACAAUAGUGAUGAUAACUAAAAGAGUGUCUAUUUAUUUUUAUAUUUAUAUACUUUUUUGUAUUGUCUAUCAUUUAUUGGUUUACAUUUUAAAAAGUCUAUUGCUCUUUAAUGGCCCAAAAUUUCUAUAGUAAACUUUUUGUUUUGUUAGCUCUAACUAGCACGAGGCUCGUUAAAAUCAUAUUCUACAUAAUUUUUUUACAUUAUUUAAGAGGAUAAGAGUAGUGUAAUGUUUUCCAUUUUAAAUUAUGUAAAUGUAUAUAUCAUUAUUAUAUAUGCGUUUUAAUAAGAUUUUAUUUACAUGUAAUUGUUAUCGCAUAAAAUAUUAAUAAAA
Cinara cedri is the source of this 346-nucleotide non-coding RNA. Lineage: Eukaryota; Metazoa; Arthropoda; Insecta; Hemiptera; Aphididae. The record is from the annotation of a GenBank genome assembly.